UACGUAGGUGGCGAGCGUUGUCCGGAAUUAUUGGGCGUAAAGAGCAUGUAGGUGGGAAUGUAAGUCUGUUGUUAAAAUGCGGGGCUCAACCCCGUAUUGCACUGGAAACUACAUUUCUUGAGUGCAGGAGAGGAAAGGGGAAUUCCCAGUGUAGCGGUGAAAUGCGUAGAUAUUGGGAGGAACACCAGUGGCGAAGGCGCCUUUCUGGACUGUGUCUGACACUGAGAUGCGAAAGCUAGGGGAGCGAACG
RNAcentral lists this ribosomal RNA (250 nucleotides) under uncultured bacterium. RNAcentral describes it as "partial 16S ribosomal RNA". It matches the Rfam family "Bacterial small subunit ribosomal RNA", at positions 524 to 774 of the family's 1533-position model. The record is from RNAcentral.